RNAcentral lists this transfer RNA (73 nucleotides) under Hemisus marmoratus (mottled shovel-nosed frog). RNAcentral's name for it is "tRNA-Asn". It matches the Rfam family "tRNA". Rfam says of the family: Transfer RNA (tRNA) molecules are approximately 80 nucleotides in length. Their secondary structure includes four short double-helical elements and three loops (D, anti-codon, and T loops). Further hydrogen bonds mediate the characteristic L-shaped molecular structure. tRNAs have two regions of fundamental functional importance: the anti-codon, which is responsible for specific mRNA codon recognition, and the 3' end, to which the tRNAs corresponding amino acid is attached (by aminoacyl-tRNA synthetases). tRNAs cope with the degeneracy of the genetic code in two manners: having more than one tRNA (with a specific anti-codon) for a particular amino acid; and 'wobble' base-pairing, i.e. permitting non-standard base-pairing at the 3rd anti-codon position. The record is from RNAcentral. Lineage: Eukaryota; Metazoa; Chordata; Amphibia; Anura; Hemisotidae.
UAGAAUGAGGCUUGCCGGUUAGAGCGCUUAGCUGUUAACUAAGAUUCUGCGGGAUCGAGGCCCGCCUUUCUAG